This is a long non-coding RNA of Manihot esculenta (cassava), 427 nucleotides long. RefSeq lists it as uncharacterized. The transcript is spliced from 3 exons. The record is from RefSeq and is a predicted model, not a curated record. NCBI's taxonomy places the organism in Eukaryota, Viridiplantae, Streptophyta, Magnoliopsida, Malpighiales, Euphorbiaceae.
CUUCUAACAUUAACUUUAGAACUACAUUUGGCCGCAAGAAAAACAGAGAUGCAAUUCGAAAGGCAUGGAUGCCUACAGGUGCAGCUCUUAAAAAACUGGAGGAUGAGAAGGGUAUUGUUGUACGAUUUGUAAUAGGCAGAAGGUUUCUGGUUUUCUAUGAUUAAUUUUUAUAUGAUGGAAGUGCUUAUUUUCUGUGUUUUGUUCAUUUACAAUCAUGUAUCGCUGCAGUUCAAACUUCAAAUGGUGGAGACAGUUUGGACAGGGCGAAAAUGUGCAGACUAAUGACUUCAUUGUUCUUGAUGGACAAGUGGAGGCAAUUGAGGAGGCUCCAAAAAAGACGAAAUUAUUCUUUAUAAAUGCUGUAGAGCAUUGGAAUGCUGAAUUUUAUGUUAGGGUCAAUGAUGAUGUUUUUGAUAAUAUUGAUAGG